GAGUUUGAUCCUGGCUCAGGAUAAACGCUGGCGGCGCACAUAAGACAUGCAAGUCGAACGGACUUAACCAUUAGUUUACUAUUGGAGCGGUUAGUGGCGGACUGGUGGGUAACACGUAAGCAACCUGCCUAUCAGAGGGGAACAACAGUUAGAAAUGACUGCUAAUACCGCAUAUGCCUUGAGUAUCACAUGGUACAAAAGGGAAAGGAGCAAUCCGCUGAUAGAUGGGCUUGCGUCUGAUUAGAUAGUUGGUGGGGUAACGGCCUACCAAGUCGACGAUCAGUAGCCGGACUGAGAGGUUGAACGGCCACACUGGAACUGAGACACGGUCCAGACACCUACGGGUGGCAGCAGUCGAGAAUCAUUCACAAUGGGGGAAACCCUGAUGGUGCGACGCCGCGUGGGGGAAUGAAGGUCUUCGGAUUGUAAACCCCUGUCAUGUGGGAGCAAAUUAAAAAGAUAGUACCACAAGAGGAAGAGACGGCUAACUCUGUGCCAGCAGCCGCGGUAAUACAGAGGUCUCAAGCGUUGUUCGGAAUCACUGGGCGUAAAGCGUGCGUAGGCUGUUUCGUAAGUCGUGUGUGAAAGGCGCGGGCUCAACCCGCGGACGGCACAUGAUACUGCGAGACUAGAGUAAUGGAGGGGGAACCGGAAUUCUCGGUGUAGCAGUGAAAUGCGUAGAUAUCGAGAGGAACACUCGUGGCGAAGGCGGGUUCCUGGACAUUAACUGACG
This 733-nucleotide ribosomal RNA is filed under the name uncultured bacterium. RNAcentral's name for it is "bacterial SSU rRNA". It matches the Rfam family "Bacterial small subunit ribosomal RNA", at positions 9 to 745 of the family's 1533-position model. The record is from RNAcentral.